RNAcentral lists this ribosomal RNA (419 nucleotides) under uncultured marine bacterium. RNAcentral's name for it is "bacterial SSU rRNA". It matches the Rfam family "Bacterial small subunit ribosomal RNA", at positions 360 to 804 of the family's 1533-position model. The record is from RNAcentral.
AAUCUUAGACAAUGGGCGCAAGCCUGAUCUAGCCAUGCCGCGUGAGUGAUGAAGGCAACAGGGUUGUACAGGUGUUUAGCCAGAGAGGAUAAUCACACUGAAGAAUAAAGAAACCCCGGCUAACUCCCAGCCAGCAGUAAGCGGUAAUACGGAGGGGGUUUCCGGAUUUGGAAUUACAAAGAGUAAAGCGUACGUAGGCGGCGUGAAAGUAUGGGCCCAAUGCCAGGCUUCAACCCUGCAGUGGGUACGGAAUAACUAGAGUGCAGUAGGGGAGACUGGAAUUCCUGGUGUAGCGGUGGAAUGCGCAGAUAUCAGGAGGAACACCGAUGGCGAAGGCAGGUCUCUGGGCUGUAACUGACGCUGAGAAGCGAAAGCAUGGGGAGCGAACAGGAUUAGAUACCCUGGUAGUCCAUGCCGUA